RNAcentral lists this ribosomal RNA (855 nucleotides) under uncultured crenarchaeote. RNAcentral describes it as "bacterial SSU rRNA". It matches the Rfam family "Archaeal small subunit ribosomal RNA", at positions 34 to 864 of the family's 1478-position model. The record is from RNAcentral. Lineage: Archaea; Thermoproteati; Thermoproteota.
CGGGGAUGGGACUAAGACAUGCUAGUCGUGCGCCUUCCCAGCCAUGUGGGAGGCGCGGCGCACAGCUCUGUAACACGUGGCUAACCUGCCCUUGGGACGGGAAUACCCCCGGGAAACUGGGGCUAAUCCCCGAUAGGUGAAGAACUCUGGAAUGAGUCUUCGCCCAAAAGGCGUCGGAUCAUGCUUUCGGCGUCGCCCAAGGAUGGGGCCGCGACCGAUCAGGUUGUUGGUGAGGUAACGGCCCACCAAGCCUAUAACCGGUGCGGGCCGUGAGAGCGGGAGCCCGGAGAUGGGCACUGAGACAAGGGCCCAGGUCCUACGGGGCGCAGCAGUCGCGAAACCUUUGCAAUACACGAAAGUGUGACAGGGUCAUCCCGAGUGCCAACCGCUGAGGUUGGCUUUUACCCAGUCUAGAAAGCUGGGGGAAUAAGGAGAGGGCAAGUCUGGUGUCAGCCGCCGCGGUAAUACCAGCUCUCCGAGUGGUGUGGACGUUUAUUGGGCCUAAAGCAUCCGUAGCUGGCUGAUCAAGUCCCCUGUUAAACCCACCGAUUUAAUCGUUGGCUUGCGGGGGAUACUGUUCGGCUAGGGGACGAGAGAGGCAGACGGUAUUCCCGGGGUAGGGGUGAAAUCCUAUAAUCCCGAGAAGACCACCAGUGGCGAAGGCUGUCUGCUAGAACGCGCCCGACGGUGAGGGAUGAAAGCUGGGGGAGCGAACCGGAUUAGAUACCCGGGUAGUCCCAGCUGUAAACGAUGCAGACUAGGUGUUUGGACGGCCACGUGCCGUUCUAGUGCCGCAGGGAAGCUGUUAAGUCUGCCGCCUGGGGAGUACGAUCGCAAGAUUGAAACUUAAAGGAA